RNAcentral lists this ribosomal RNA (557 nucleotides) under uncultured bacterium. RNAcentral describes it as "bacterial SSU rRNA". It matches the Rfam family "Bacterial small subunit ribosomal RNA", at positions 102 to 694 of the family's 1533-position model. The record is from RNAcentral.
ACGGGUGAGUAACGCGUGGGAAUCUACCCAUCUCUACGGAACAACUCCGGGAAACUGGAGCUAAUACCGUAUACGUCCUUCGGGAGAAAGAUUUAUCGGAGAUGGAUGAGCCCGCGUUGGAUUAGCUAGUUGGUGGGGUAAUGGCCUACCAAGGCGACGAUCCAUAGCUGGUCUGAGAGGAUGAUCAGCCACACUGGGACUGAGACACGGCCCAGACUCCUACGGGAGGCAGCAGUGGGGAAUAUUGGACAAUGGGCGCAAGCCUGAUCCAGCCAUGCCGCGUGAGUGAUGAAGGCCCUAGGGUUGUAAAGCUCUUUCAACGGUGAAGAUAAUGACGGUAACCGUAGAAGAAGCCCCGGCUAACUUCGUGCCAGCAGCCGCGGUAAUACGAAGGGGGCUAGCGUUGUUCGGAAUUACUGGGCGUAAAGCGCACGUAGGCGGAUACUUAAGUCAGGGGUGAAAUCCCGGGGCUCAACCCCGGAACUGCCUUUGAUACUGGGUAUCUCGAGUCCGGAAGAGGUGAGUGGAAUUCCGAGUGUAGAGGUGAAAUUCGUGGA